Molecule: ribosomal RNA, 864 nt
Filed under: uncultured bacterium
Lineage: Bacteria
Description: bacterial SSU rRNA
Rfam family: Bacterial small subunit ribosomal RNA
Source: RNAcentral
GCUAGAGUUUAUCAGAGGAAAGCGGAAUACAUAGUGUAGAGGUGAAAUUCGUAGAUAUUAUGUAGAACACCAGUUGCGAAGGCGGCUUUCUGGGAUAAUACUGACGCUGAGGUGCGAAAGUAUGGGUAGCGAAGAGGAUUAGAUACCCUCGUAGUCCAUACCGUAAACGAUGAUUGUUAGAUGUUGGAAAUUUAUUUUCAGUAUCACAGCUAACGCGUUAAACAAUCCGCCUGGGGAGUACGACCGCAAGGUUAAAACUCAAAUGAAUUGACGGGGACCCGCACAAGCGGUGGAGCAUGUGGUUUAAUUCGAAGCUACGCGCAGAACCUUACCAACACUUGACAUGUCUGUCGCGGAAUUCAGAGAUGAAUUCCUUCGGUUCGGCCGGACAGAACACAGGUGCUGCAUGGCUGUCGUCAGCUCGUGUCGUGAGAUGUUGGGUUAAGUCCCGCAACGAGCGCAACCCCUACUUCUAGUUGCCAUCAGGUUAAGCUGGGCACUCUAGUAGGACUGCCUGUGAUAAGCAGGAGGAAGGUUGGGAUGACGUCAAGUCCUCAUGGCCCUUACGUGUUGGGCUACACACGUGCUACAAUGGCAGUGACAAUGAGAUGCUAAACGGCGACGUUAAGCUAAACUCAAAAACCUGCCUCAGUUCGGAUUGCACUCUGCAACUCGAGUGCAUGAAGCUGGAAUCGCUAGUAAUCGCUCAUCAGCGCGGAGCGGUGAAUACGUUCCCGGGUCUUGUACACACCGCCCGUCACACCAUGGAAGUUGGUUUUACCUUAAGGCAUGUCACUAACCCUCGGGAAGUGCGUGACCACGGUAUGAUCGGCGACUGGGGUGAAGUCGUAACAAGGUAGCCGU